AGCUUGCUUCUCGCUGACGAGCGGCGGACGGGUGAGUAACGCGUGGGAAUUUGCCCUUUUGUGGGGGAUAACUUGGGGAAACUCAAGCUAAUACCGCAUAAGCCCUACGGGGGAAGCAGGGGAUCUUCGGACCUUGCGCAGAAGGAUGAGCCCGCGUCAGAUUAGCUUGUUGGUGAGGUAAUGGCUCACCAAGGCGACGAUCUGUAACUGGUCUGAGAGGAUGAUCAGUCACACCGGAACUGAGACACGGUCCGGACUCCUACGGGAGGCAGCAGUGGGGAAUCUUGGACAAUGGGGGCAACCCUGAUCCAGCCAUGCCGCGUGUGUGAAGAAGGCCCUAGGGUUGUAAAGCACUUUCAGUAGUGAGGAAGGCUUCGGGUUAAUACCCUGGAGUACUUGACGUUAGCUACAGAAGAGGCACCGGCUAAUUUCGUGCCAGCAGCCGCGGUAAUACGAAAGGUGCGAGCGUUAAUCGGAAUUACUGGGCGUAAAGCGCGCGUAGGCGGUUAGUUAAGUCGGAUGUGAAAUCCCCGGGCUCAACCUGGGAACUGCAUCCGAUACUGGCUAACUAGAAUGCAGUAGAGGGAGGUAGAAUUUCCGGUGUAGCGGUGAAAUGCGUAGAGAUCGGAAGGAAUACCAGUGGCGAAGGCGGCCUCCUGGACUGACAUUGACGCUGAGGUGCGAAAGCGUGGGGAUCAAACAGGAUUAGAUACCCUGGUAGUCCACGCCGUAAACGAUGUCUACUAGCCGUCGGAACCCUUCGUGGUUUUGGUGGCGCAGCUAACGCGAUAAGUAGACCGCCUGGGGAGUACGGCCGCAAGGUUAAAACUCAAAUGAAUUGA
This 842-nucleotide ribosomal RNA is filed under the name uncultured bacterium. RNAcentral's name for it is "bacterial SSU rRNA". It matches the Rfam family "Bacterial small subunit ribosomal RNA", at positions 77 to 913 of the family's 1533-position model. The record is from RNAcentral.